AUGCGAUAAGUAAUGUGAAUUGCAGAAUUCAGUGAAUCAUCGAAUCUUUGAACGCACAUUGCGCCCGCCAGUAUUCUGGCGGGCAUGCCUGUUCGAGCGUCAUUUCAACCAUCAAGCCCCCGGCUUGUGUUGGGGACCUGCGGCGCGCCCGCAGGCCCUGAAAACCAGUGGCGGGCUCGCUGACCACACCGAGCGUAGUAGCAUUUCUGUCUCGCUCAGGGCGUGCGGCGGGUUCCGGCCGUGAAACCCACCCCCCAAGGGGUACCCAAAGGUUGACCUCGGAUCAGGUAGGAAGACCCGCUGAACUUAA
This 310-nucleotide unclassified non-coding RNA is filed under the name uncultured Dichotomopilus. Its description in RNAcentral is "partial contains 5.8S ribosomal RNA, internal transcribed spacer 2, and large subunit ribosomal RNA". The stretch from base 1 to 102 matches the Rfam family "5.8S ribosomal RNA", at positions 53 to 154 of the family's 154-position model. The record is from RNAcentral. Lineage: Eukaryota; Fungi; Ascomycota; Sordariomycetes; Sordariales; Chaetomiaceae.